AACGGGUGAGUAACGCGUAGGUAAUCUGCCUUGGAGAUUGGGAAAACCAUUCGAAAGGAUGGCUAAUACCAGAUACCUUAUAUUAAUCGCAUGAUUUUUAUAAUAAAGGGGGCUUUUAGCUCCCGCUUCAAGAUGAACCUGCGUCCUAUUAGCUAGUUGGUGAGGUAAAGGCUCACCAAGGCGACGAUCCAUAGCUGGUCUGAGAGGAUGAUCAGCCACAUUGGGACUGAGACACGGUCCAGACUCC
RNAcentral lists this ribosomal RNA (247 nucleotides) under uncultured bacterium. RNAcentral's name for it is "partial 16S ribosomal RNA". It matches the Rfam family "Bacterial small subunit ribosomal RNA", at positions 101 to 339 of the family's 1533-position model. The record is from RNAcentral.